Molecule: small nuclear RNA, 103 nt
Organism: Callithrix jacchus (white-tufted-ear marmoset)
Lineage: Eukaryota; Metazoa; Chordata; Mammalia; Primates; Cebidae
Source: Ensembl
GUGCUUACUUUGGUAGCACAUAUACUAAAAUUAGAACAGUUUCAGCAUUAGCAUGGUGCCUGCACAAGAAUGACAUGCAAAUUGUGAAGUGUUCCCUAUUUUU